AGAGUUUGAUCCUGGCUCAGGAUAAACGCUGGCGGCGCACAUAAGACAUGCAAGUCGAACGAACUUAACCAUAAGUUUACUUUUGGAGCGGUUAGUGGCGGACUGGUGAGUAACGCGUAAGGAAUCUGCCUAUAAGAGGGGAAUAACAGUGAGAAAUCAUUGCUAAUACCGCAUAAGCUCUGAAUAUCGCAUGAUAAAAAGAGAAAAGGAGAAAUCCGCUUAUAGAUGAUCUUGCGUCUGAUUAGUUAGUUGGUGAGGUAAAGGCCCACCAAGACGAUGAUCAGUAGCCGGACUGAGAGGUUGAACGGCCACAUUGGGACUGAGAUACGGCCCAGACUCCUACGGGAGGCAGCAGUCGGGAAUAUUGCGCAAUGGAGGAAACUCUGACGCAGUGACGCCGCGUGCAGGAAGAAGGUUUUCGGAUUGUAAACUGCUUUAGAUAGGGAAGAAAAAAAUGACAGUACCUAUAGAAUAAGCUCCGGCUAACUACGUGCCAGCAGCCGCGGUAAUACGUAGGGAGCGAGCGUUAUCCGGAUUUAUUGGGUGUAAAGGGUGCGUAGAUGGAUAAACAAGUUGGUUGUGAAAUCCCUCGGCUUAACUGAGGAAUUGCAACCAAAACUGUAGAUCUUGAGUACUGGAGGGGAAAGCGGAAUUCCUAGUGUAGCGGUGAAAUGCGUAGAUAUUAGGAAGAACACCGGUGGCGAAGGCGGCUUUCUGGACUGAAACUGACGCUGAGGCACGAAAGCGUGGGGAGCGAACAGGAUUAGAUACCCUGGUAGUCCACGCCGUAAACGAUGAGUGCUAGGUGUCGGGGAGGAAUCCCCGGUGCCGCAGCUAACGCAAUAAGCACUCCACCUGGGGAGUACGACCGCAAGGUUGAAACUCAAAGGAAUUGACGGGGGCCCGCACAAGCGGUGGAGCAUGUGGUUUAAUUCGAAGCAACGCGAAGAACCUUACCAAAGCUUGACAUCCUGAUGACAGGCGUAGAGAUACGCUUUCCCUUCGGGGCAUCGGAGACAGGUGGUGCAUGGUUGUCGUCAGCUCGUGUCGUGAGAUGUUGGGUUAAGUCCCGCAACGAGCGCAACCCUUACCCUUAGUAGCCAGCGGUCCGGCCGGGCACUCUGUGGAGACUGCCGGAGAUAAUCCGGAGGAAGGUGGGGAUGACGUCAAAUCAUCAUGCCCUUUAUGGCUUGGGCUACACACGUGCUACAAUGGCGGUAACAAAGUGAAGCAGCCUCGCGAGAGUGAGCCAACCACAAAAAAACCGUCCCAGUUCGGAUUGUAGUCUGCAACCCGACUACAUGAAGCUGGAAUCGCUAGUAAUCGCAGAUCAGAAUGCUGCGGUGAAUACGUUCCCGGGUCUUGCACACACCGCCCGUCA
This 1381-nucleotide ribosomal RNA is filed under the name uncultured bacterium. RNAcentral describes it as "16S ribosomal RNA". It matches the Rfam family "Bacterial small subunit ribosomal RNA". The record is from RNAcentral.